UACAGAGGUCCCAAGCGUUGUUCGGAUUCACUGGGCGUAAAGGGUGCGUAGGUGGUUGGGUAAGUCCGAUGUGAAAUCUCCAGGCUCAACCUGGAAAUGGCAUUGGAUACUAUUCGGCUUGAGGAGUGGAGGGGGGACUGGAAUUCUCGGUGUAGCAGUGAAAUGCGUAGAUAUCGAGAGGAACACCAGUGGCGAAGGCGAGUCCCUGGACACUUCCUGACACUGAGGCACGAAAGCUAGGGGAGCAAACAGG
This 253-nucleotide ribosomal RNA is filed under the name uncultured bacterium. Its description in RNAcentral is "partial 16S ribosomal RNA". It matches the Rfam family "Bacterial small subunit ribosomal RNA", at positions 524 to 776 of the family's 1533-position model. The record is from RNAcentral.